UACGUAGGGGGCAAGCGUUGUCCGGAAUCAUUGGGCGUAAAGAGCGUGUAGGCGGCCCGAUAAGUCCGCUGUGAAAGUCGGGGGCUCAACCCUCGAAUGCCGGUGGAUACUGUCGGGCUAGAGUGCGGAAGAGGCGAGUGGAAUUCCUGGUGUAGCGGUGAAAUGCGCAGAUAUCAGGAGGAACACCUAUUGCGAAGGCAGCUCGCUGGGACGUAACUGACGCUGAGACGCGAAAGCGUGGGGAGCAAACAGG
This 253-nucleotide ribosomal RNA is filed under the name uncultured bacterium. RNAcentral describes it as "partial 16S ribosomal RNA". It matches the Rfam family "Bacterial small subunit ribosomal RNA", at positions 524 to 776 of the family's 1533-position model. The record is from RNAcentral.